AUGACCACUAUCCGCACACUUCUCGCUGUAGCCUCUGUUCGCCAUUGGUCCGUGUCUCAGCUUGAUGUUAAGAAUGCCUUUCUUAACGGUGAGUUGCGUGAGGAGGUUUAUAUGCAACCACCACCUGGGUAUUCUGUUCCUGAUGGCAUGGUUUGUCAUCUUCGUUGCUCUCUAUAUGGUCUCAACCAAGCCCCUCGCGCUUGGUUUUGGUUUGAGCGUUCUGCCUCUGUGGUGACUGCAGCUGGUUUUUCUCCCAGUGCUCAUGAUCCAGCGUUGAGGGCAGGCCUGGCGCAGUGGUGA
This 300-nucleotide ribosomal RNA is filed under the name Triticum aestivum (bread wheat). Its description in RNAcentral is "partial small subunit ribosomal RNA". Lineage: Eukaryota; Viridiplantae; Streptophyta; Magnoliopsida; Poales; Poaceae. The record is from RNAcentral.